GGCCUUAUUAAGAGAUUGGAGGGUGCAAGUUGUUAUGCACUGUCUGUAUAUAAUUUGGAUAUGCUGUAAUGAGAAAUUCUUUGUGCACCAUACGCGGUGCGGAACACGCACAUCAUGUGUAGUGAUUAGCUCACGUGCGGGACCGAAUGGUGGUGCAAAAAAAAAAAAAUUUUUUUUAUCCGGUCUCGUGUACGAGCCAAUCACCAUGCACAGUGUAUAAAAAAUUACUCAUGCAGUAAUAUGCAAAUGGCC
This 252-nucleotide long non-coding RNA is filed under the name Elaeis guineensis (African oil palm). RNAcentral's name for it is "long non-coding RNA (EGUI_LNC082182)". Lineage: Eukaryota; Viridiplantae; Streptophyta; Magnoliopsida; Arecales; Arecaceae. The record is from RNAcentral.